RNAcentral lists this transfer RNA (71 nucleotides) under Zeus faber (John dory). RNAcentral's name for it is "tRNA-Gln". It matches the Rfam family "tRNA". From Rfam's summary of the family: Transfer RNA (tRNA) molecules are approximately 80 nucleotides in length. Their secondary structure includes four short double-helical elements and three loops (D, anti-codon, and T loops). RNAcentral also lists the same sequence under 5 other names. The record is from RNAcentral. Lineage: Eukaryota; Metazoa; Chordata; Actinopteri; Zeiformes; Zeidae.
UAGGAAGUGGUGUAGUGGAAGCACUUGGAGUUUUGAUCUCCAAAGGGUGGGUUCGAGUCCCCCCUUUCUAA